Long non-coding RNA from Astyanax mexicanus (Mexican tetra), 1798 nucleotides. RefSeq lists it as uncharacterized. The transcript has 6 exons. The record is from RefSeq and is a predicted model, not a curated record. NCBI's taxonomy places the organism in Eukaryota, Metazoa, Chordata, Actinopteri, Characiformes, Acestrorhamphidae.
AAAACAUAAGUAAAAGUUGUUCUUUCCAAUUAGAUAUCUACUCCUACAUCGUCAGGUGGUCCAACCAUACAGUGCCUGUACUGCAAGCAAUUCAUGAGACAGGCAUCCAUCCCUACACAUGUUGAUGUUUAUUCAAGAUAAGUUAUGGUUAUUUGUCUGUAAUGUCAGUUUUGCUAUGUAGUAGGGCUGCACAAUAUAUAAUUUAAGCAUUGACAUUGCGAUGUGUGCACGUGCGAUAGUCACAUCGCGGACCCUGCGAUGUCACGUGGCAAUAAAAACAAACACGCCGUUGCAGUGUUUUGAUUCUUAAGAAGUAGAUACACAGCAUUCUGAGUGAGCGCGAGAGGGAGGGGGAGCGGGCGUAAACACAAGAAAAAAUAGAACAAUGCGAACAAUCCAAUAUAGUGCAGCCCUGUUAUGUAGCUCAUUCACAUUAAAUAAUUAAGGCAUGUCAUCAUGCAUUGCAUAAUUUUUGGGAGUUUGCAAUUAGCUCUCAUGAUAAAUUGUACUUCUUGGUUUUUAGCAUUGGGAAUAGUGUGUAGAGUAAUGUUUCAAGCCAAGAACAUAUCUUUUUAAUUUUAAUCUCUCUGACAUUAAAAUUGCUAGACAUAAUUCAGACGGUAGGACAGGCAGGCAUGGAAACAACAGACGAAGGGAGCAUAUAGAAGCUGAAAGGACUCAAGAUGGUAUUGGAAGGCACCAGGAAAGAGAGGGCAGACAACAGGAAAGAGAGGGCAGACAACAGGAAAGAGAAGACAGACAACAGGAAAGAGAAGACAGACAACAGGAAAGAGAGGGCAGACAACAGGAAAGAGAAGACAGACAACAGGAAAGAGAAGACAGACAACAGGAAAGAGAGGACGGACAACAAAAGGAGACAGAAGAUGGGAACACCACUCCAGGGGAAAUGGGAAAUAUCCAAAGGAUUCACUAUCGGAACAGUACAGACAAUGAACAUAGAGACUUGAGGCAGAGACAAAGUGGUAGUUGCACUAGUGAAGAGUGGAAAACUGAGCCAGAUAUUACGAAAGCAGUUGACAUUUACAGACAUCAACUGUUGAAAGCUGCUGAGUCUGAGGAGGAUCUGACAAUCAAACUGAACAUGGGACAUAGUCCAGAGGACCGGGAGAGGGCUAUUCUGCAGUUUUACAAAGCCCCCAACAUAAACUGGGCCCGAAACCUUACUGUGGUUUUACAAGGUGAUGCUGCAUUGGGAGAUGGCGUCAAAAGAUUCUUUUUUUCACGAACAAUAUCAAAACUACAGUUUGGUUUUGAACUGAACAUAGAAGGUCCUGGGAAAACCCUUUUUUUCUUGGAGAGGAAGAUCACCAGGUGCCAUCGACAUCUAAAAUUCUUCUAGACAGUGGACUCUAUGUGGUUGCUGGACGAAUGAUAGGACACUCAAUCCUGCAUGGCGGCCCAGGAUUGAGUAGUUUGAGUCCUUCAGUUUUUAGCUCUCUGAUUGGCCAAGAUGAAGAGCAUGUAUGCCUACAAGAUUGUCCAGACAUGGACCUCCGAGAAAUAAUUCAAGAGCUUGAUGGAGAUGAUGACCUUAGCCAGAGCCAGACGUCAAAAAUGAAUGAUCUCUGCCUUAGCUGGGACUUGCCGUUUGUUAACACUGAGAAUCGAAGGUGGCUUGCAGAGAAAGUGCUAGUGCAUGCGGUCCUUGGCCGUAGAAGAGAGCAACUCAGACAACUCAGAAGAGGCUUGAAAGACAGUGGACUGAUGCCUUUACUAAAGGAAAGGCCUGAUGCUCUGAAUAUCAUUUUCCCUCAAGCAUCCAUAAUUUUUUGUUACC